This 253-nucleotide ribosomal RNA is filed under the name uncultured bacterium. RNAcentral describes it as "partial 16S ribosomal RNA". It matches the Rfam family "Bacterial small subunit ribosomal RNA", at positions 524 to 776 of the family's 1533-position model. The record is from RNAcentral.
UACGAGGGGGGCGAGCGUUGUUCGGAAUUAUUGGGCGUAAAGGGUGCGUAGGCGGUUUGGUAAGUCUUAUGUGAAAUCUACAGGCUCAACUUGUAGUCUGCACGAGAAACUGCCGGGCUUGAGUAUGGGAGAGGUGAGUGGAAUUCCUGGUGUAGCGGUGAAAUGCGUAGAUAUCAGGAGGAACACCUGUGGCGAAAGCGGCUCACUGGACCAUAACUGACGCUGAUGCACGAAAGCUAGGGGAGCAAACAGG